Manihot esculenta (cassava) is the source of this 1599-nucleotide RNA transcript. It is a transcript of the gene named enoyl-[acyl-carrier-protein] reductase, mitochondrial, with no coding region annotated. The record is from RefSeq and is a predicted model, not a curated record. NCBI's taxonomy places the organism in Eukaryota, Viridiplantae, Streptophyta, Magnoliopsida, Malpighiales, Euphorbiaceae. The transcript is spliced from 10 exons.
AUUUUGGUUAUAGUCCGAAGCCCGCAGUAGAUAGUAAUACCUCCAAAAACGACGUCACUUGGAGUGAUCGUUUGACUCGAGAGUGAAGGCCAUCCUUUGGUCCGACGGGCAUCUACCAAAGGGAAAGAGUCGUGGGAGACAAAUACAGAAAUGACUUCGGUGAAGAUGAUCACGUCGAUGAGGUCAGUAGCCAGGACAGCUCUCCCUGGGGCGUCCUCAUCGCUUCUUUUCAAUCUCAGGCGGGUCCAUGUUCCUCGUCCUCAAGCCCAAGUCGUCAGGGCAUUCUCCGCUCUCUUAUCGCCGCCGUCCAAGGCCAUAGUCUAUGACCAGCACGGUUGCCCGGAUUCUGUCACCAGAGUAGUGGAGAUACCGCCAGUCGAAGUAAAAGCUAACGAUGUGUGCGUUAAAAUGCUGGCGGCUCCUAUUAAUCCUUCUGAUAUCAAUCGAAUUGAAGGAGUGUAUCCUGUGAGGCCUCCAGUGCCUGCAGUUGGAGGAUAUGAGGGCGUAGGGGAGGUGCAUUCCGUGGGUUCUGCAGUUAAGGGUCUUGAGCCUGGUGAUUGGGUCAUUCCUUCUCCACCCUCUUUUGGAACGUGGCAGACUUAUAUUGUACAAGAUCAGAAUGUCUGGCACAAAAUCAAUAAAGAGUCACCCAUGGAAUAUGCAGCAACAAUCACUGUUAAUCCUUUGACUGCUUUAAGAAUGCUUGAAGACUUCACUACUCUUAGUUCAGGAGAUUCUAUUGUGCAAAAUGGGGCUACAAGUAUUGUAGGACAGUGCAUAAUCCAGAUCGCAAAAUUCCAUGGCAUUCAUAGCAUAAAUAUAUUAAGGGACAGGCCUGGAUCAGAUGAAGCAAAGGAAAUGCUAAAGAAACUAGGUGCUGAUGAGGUGUUUACUGAGAGCCAACUGGAAGUGAAGAACGUCAAAGGUCUCCUGACUAGCAUACCAGAACCUGCUUUGGGAUUCAACUGUGUUGGUGGAAAUUCUGCUUCUUUGGUUCUCAAGUUCUUAAGGCAGGGUGGAACAAUGGUGACAUAUGGUGGAAUGUCUAAGAAACCUGUAACUGUAUCAACAUCAUCAUUCAUUUUCAAGUGUCACUGCUUCUGUGCUUCGCGUAUGCGUUUGUUUGUUGGCAGGAUCUAUCCUUGAGAGGAUUCUGGUUGCAAAAAUGGAUGACUUCAGAUAAAGCAAAAGAGUGCAGAAAUAUGAUAGAUUAUCUUCUAUCCCUAGCACGAGAAGGGAACUUGAAAUACGAGAUGGAGCUGGUUCCUUUUGACAAUUUUCACACAGCUUUGGACAAGGCACUUGGAAAACUAGGAAGCCAACCUAAACAAGUUUUAAAAUUCUAAAUCUCAAGGAGCCGAGGAAGGUUGCCUGAAUCCUCUUUUGCUUUAUACAUGGGGAUUCAUUUCAUUGCACUGUGUGGAACUAAUAAAAUGUUGUAAUUACUAAGAAUAUUUUAGUUUUCAAGAAGAAUUACUCUAGAGAUAUUCAAAGUUGGGAAAAAAAGAAAAGAAAAGAAAAAAAGCUGUAAACCUUGUUCUCUAGCUCGAUCUCCUCUGUUUAAUAAAUUUAUUAUUAAUAAUAAAAUAAGAAUAAAUA